UACGAAGGGGGCUAGCGUUGUUCGGAUUUACUGGGCGUAAAGCGCACGUAGGCGGAUCGUUAAGUCGGGGGUGAAAUCCUGGAGCUCAACUCCAGAACUGCCUUCGAUACUGGCGAUCUAGAGUCCGGGAGAGGUGAGUGGAACUGCGAGUGUAGAGGUGAAAUUCGUAGAUAUUCGCAAGAACACCAGUGGCGAAGGCGGCUCACUGGCCCGGAACUGACGCUGAGGUGCGAAAGCGUGGGGAGCAAACAGG
Molecule: ribosomal RNA, 253 nt
Filed under: uncultured bacterium
Lineage: Bacteria
Description: partial 16S ribosomal RNA
Rfam family: Bacterial small subunit ribosomal RNA
Source: RNAcentral